GUCUGUCCAUUGUUGUGACCUAGAUGAAGAUCAGAUAACAUUUUAGGACCAAUUUAUGCAGAAAUCCAGUUCUCCCGGUUUUGACCCUUGCCUGUUUCUGGACUUUGCACCCGCCUGCCUGACCAUUCUGCCUGCCUUGACCACGAGCCUGUCUGCCACUCUGUACCUUCUGGACUCUGAUCUGGUUUUGACCUUUUGUCUGUCCACGACCAUUCUCUUGCCUACUACUUUUUGGAUUAAUAAACAUUGUAAGACUCCAACCAUCUGCCUCCUGUGUCUGCAUCUGGGUCUCGCCUUGUGCCUUGAUAGAUACUGCAAAACGAGUCUUAGGACCUCUAUCAAUGUUGGG
RNAcentral lists this long non-coding RNA (349 nucleotides) under Salmo salar (Atlantic salmon). RNAcentral's name for it is "lncRNA (ENSSSAG00000084254.1)". The record is from RNAcentral. Lineage: Eukaryota; Metazoa; Chordata; Actinopteri; Salmoniformes; Salmonidae.